GCCGGGCGCGGUGGCGCGUGCCUGUAGUCCCAGCUACUAGGGAGGCUGAGGCUGGAGGAUCGCUUGAGUCCAGGAGUUCUGGGCUGUAGUGCGCUAUGCCGAUCGGGUGUCCGCACUAAGUUCGGCAUCAAUAUGGUGACCUCCCGGGAGCGGGGGACCACCAGGUUGCCUAAGGAGGGGUGAACCGGCCCAGGUCGGAAACGGAGCAGGUCAAAACUCCCGUGCUGAUCAGUAGUGGGAUCGCGCCUGUGAAUAGCCACUGCACUCCAGCCUGGGCAACAUAGCGAGACCCUGUCUCU
This is an unclassified non-coding RNA of Cercocebus atys (sooty mangabey), 299 nucleotides long. It matches the Rfam family "Metazoan signal recognition particle RNA". From Rfam's summary of the family: The signal recognition particle (SRP) is a universally conserved ribonucleoprotein. The record is from Ensembl. Lineage: Eukaryota; Metazoa; Chordata; Mammalia; Primates; Cercopithecidae.